CAUUCAGAGCACAUCACAAUAAAGAUGUGAUAAGGAAAAGAGAGAGAGGAGGCAGGAGGAUUGAAUAGAAUAGCCCCAGAUUGUAACGCAACUCUGAGAAAUUUUUUUUCUUUUUUUCUCCUAGGCUGUUGGGAGGCUCAGGACAAAAAUUUACUAUUAGUGUCCAGCACUGAGCAGAAAUGACUCAACUCUAGUAUUCCUGCUGUGCCCAGUCAUUCACUAGGAGCAGCCCAGAGUCAGCAGGACCUUGAUGUUGAUACUGAAGCAGAUCCUAAGGAAUUUGGAAUCUACCACGUCAUGAGUAGCCAUAUUCAGAGCUCACAUGAUGAGAGACAUAUAUCCCAUCAAUAGGCAACUAGGACUUGUGUCCUACCAACAGCUACGAGCUUGAGCUUGGAAGAAGACUAUCCCUCGACUGAGCCUUCAGAUGACGCAACCCUAAAUGACACCUUGAUAGUAGCCUUGUGAGAAGCCCUGAGUCAGAGCUCAACCAGUUACCUGAAACUCUGAUUCUUAAC
RNAcentral lists this long non-coding RNA (518 nucleotides) under Callithrix jacchus (white-tufted-ear marmoset). RNAcentral describes it as "lncRNA (ENSCJAG00000065984.2)". The record is from RNAcentral. Lineage: Eukaryota; Metazoa; Chordata; Mammalia; Primates; Cebidae.